AUCCAUGGCCAUACCACCCUGAGCAUACCUAAUCUCAUCUGAUCUUCGCUGCUAAGCAGGGUGGGGCCUGGUUAGUACUUGGAUGGGAGACCGUCUGGGAAUACUGGGUGCCGUAGGCU
RNAcentral lists this ribosomal RNA (119 nucleotides) under Saimiri boliviensis boliviensis (Bolivian squirrel monkey). The record is from RNAcentral. Lineage: Eukaryota; Metazoa; Chordata; Mammalia; Primates; Cebidae.